CGCAGACUGGUUGUCUCUGAAGAAAUAGAUGAAGUUUCCUUUUAAAUGAAAAGGUUUAAAUUUUUGUAAAAGACGAGAAGACCCUGCCGAGCUGAAUUAAGUUGGAAAUUCUUAGGUACGAAGUACUGAGUUUCUAACUAAAAUGUAGUUGGGGAGAGCUAAGCUUAAAAGAAUAGGUUUAAUUAUUAGACACAGAUCCUCUCAGAGAGAAAGUUGGUAAAAGCUACCGCAGGGAUAACAGCGUAAUUUUUCUUGAGAGAUCGUAUUGAGGGAAAAGUUUGCGACC
RNAcentral lists this ribosomal RNA (286 nucleotides) under Paratapes undulatus (undulate venus clam). Its description in RNAcentral is "partial 16S ribosomal RNA". Lineage: Eukaryota; Metazoa; Mollusca; Bivalvia; Venerida; Veneridae. The record is from RNAcentral.